CCUGACGCAGCGACGCCGCGUGAGUGAGGAAGGCCUUCGGGUCGUAAAGCUCUGUCAAGAGGAAAGAAGUGCAUAAUGGUUAAUACCUGUUAUGUUUGACGGUACCUCCAAAGGAAGCACCGGCUAACUCCGUGCCAGCAGCCGCGGUAAUACGGAGGGUGCAAGCGUUGUUCGGAACUAUUGGGCGUAAAGCGCGUGCAGGCGGUUUUUUAAGUCUGAUGUGAAAGCCCCGGGCUUAACCUGGGAAGUGCAUUGGAAACUGGGAAACUUGAGUACGGGAGAGGGAAGUGGAAUUUCGAGUGUAGGGGUGAAAUCCGUAGAUAUUCGAAGGAACACCGGUGGCGAAGGCGGCUUCCUGGACCGAUACUGACGCUGAGACGCGAAAGCGUGGGGAGCAAACAGGAUUAGAUACCCUGGUAGUCCACGCCGUAAACGAUGGGUACUAGGUGUUGCGGGUAUUGACCCCUGCAGUGCCGAAGCUAACGCAUUAAGUACCCCGCCUGGGGAGUACGGCCGCAAGGCUAAAACUCAAAGGAAUUGACGG
This 544-nucleotide ribosomal RNA is filed under the name uncultured bacterium. RNAcentral's name for it is "bacterial SSU rRNA". It matches the Rfam family "Bacterial small subunit ribosomal RNA", at positions 382 to 916 of the family's 1533-position model. The record is from RNAcentral.